This 475-nucleotide ribosomal RNA is filed under the name uncultured anaerobic ammonium-oxidizing bacterium. RNAcentral describes it as "bacterial SSU rRNA". It matches the Rfam family "Bacterial small subunit ribosomal RNA", at positions 365 to 832 of the family's 1533-position model. The record is from RNAcentral.
UUCGCAAUGCCCGAAAGGGUGACGAAGCGACGCCGCGUGGGUGAGGAAGGCCUUCGGGUUGUAAAGCCCUGUCAGGAGUUAAGAAAUAUAAGUGUGUUAAUACCGCAUUUAUUUGACGAAACUCCAAAGGAAGCCACGGCUAACUCUGUGCCAGCAGCCGCGGUAAUACAGAGGUGGCGAGCGUUGUUCGGUAUUAUUGGGCGUAAAGAGCACGUAGGUGGUUUUGUAAGUCAGGUGUGAAAGCCUUCUGUUCAAAGGAAGAACGGCAUCUGAAACUGCAGAUCUUGAGUGUAGGAGGGGAGAGUGGAACUUCUGGUGGAGCGGUGAAAUGCGUAGAUAUCAGAAGGAACGUCGGCGGCGAAAGCGACUCUCUGGCCUAUUACUGACACUGAGGUGCGAAAGUUAGGGGAGCAAACGGGAUUAGAUACCCCGGUAGUCCUAACCGUAAACGAUGGGCACUAAGUAGAGGGGUUUU